GCCCAGCCGCCUUGUUUAGGGUGACCCACUCCCUCCUCCAUCUAGGAACAUGGGAAGACCCCUUGCAAGAUCGAGCUGAGGAUUUUGCACAAUAUCUACACAAUAAAAUCGCUCAAAUUCAGGAAGACUUGGACUCUGACUGGGUAUUGGUCUGGACACGUUGGAACUUCCAGAAGAUAAAUGGCUGAUGGCUGAACCUGCCUCUCAGUAAGAUCUGCUAAAGUGGGCAAUGUUACCUCAGGAAGCCUGCCUUCUCUUUCUUGGCCAGUGCCUUAUGGAACAGCUCAACCUUGUUGACCAUCAAGUAUGCCUUCAAGAUCUGGCAUUUUCCCAAAGCCAGGAUGUUAAUGGAGCCGUGUGGAUGUGUUGAUAAAAGUAUAUUUAUGGAUGUUCUUUUAAUUGAUUUGUGUAUUCUGUUUUUUGUUCCACACCCAUUAAAAGUUGAGGGGCUAUAUGAGCAU
Pantherophis guttatus is the source of this 461-nucleotide non-coding RNA. The record is from RefSeq and is a predicted model, not a curated record. NCBI's taxonomy places the organism in Eukaryota, Metazoa, Chordata, Lepidosauria, Squamata, Colubridae.